Molecule: ribosomal RNA, 257 nt
Filed under: uncultured bacterium
Lineage: Bacteria
Description: partial 16S ribosomal RNA
Rfam family: Bacterial small subunit ribosomal RNA
Source: RNAcentral
UACAGAGGUCUCAAGCGUUGUUCGGAUUCAUUGGGCGUAAAGGGUGCGUAGGUGGCGGGGUAAGUCAGAUGUGAAAUCUCGGAGCUCAACUCCGAAACUGCAUUUGAUACUGCCUUGCUUGAGUACUGGAGAGGAGAUUGGAAUUUACGGUGUAGCAGUGAAAUGCGUAGAUAUCGUAAGGAAGACCAGUGGCGAAGGCGAAUCUCUGGACAGUUACUGACACUGAGGCACGAAAGGCCAGGGGAGGCAAAACGGGG